UGGGGAAUUUUGGACAAUGGGCGAAAGCCUGAUCCAGCAAUGCCGCGUGAGUGAAGAAGGCCUUCGGGUUGUAAAGCUCUUUUGUCAGGGAAGAAACGGUGUUUUCUAAUACAGAAUGCUGAUGACGGUACCUGAAGAAUAAGCACCGGCUAACUACGUGCCAGCAGCCGCGGUAAUACGUAGGGUGCAAGCGUUAAUCGGAAUUACUGGGCGUAAAGCGUGCGCAGGCGGUUUUGUAAGUCUGACGUGAAAUCCCCGGGCUCAACCUGGGAAUUGCGUUGGAGACUGCAAGGCUAGAAUCUGGCAGAGGGGGGUAGAAUUCCACGUGUAGCAGUGAAAUGCGUAGAUAUGUGGAGGAACACCGAUGGCGAAGGCAGCCCCCUGGGUCAAGAUUGACGCUCAUGCACGAAAGCGUGGGGAGCAAGCAG
Molecule: ribosomal RNA, 428 nt
Filed under: uncultured bacterium
Lineage: Bacteria
Description: bacterial SSU rRNA
Rfam family: Bacterial small subunit ribosomal RNA
Source: RNAcentral